AUGGCCGAAUGGUAUUUGACACAACACGCAUGACAUAAACUUACUUGAUAUAAGUCUGAUUGACACUUUUCCAGAGACAGUAAUUUACUUUGGAAACAUUGUAUGAAACAAUAUUUAGAUAAAAUCACCAAUAAGCUUUUUGGAAUAAUAUAAAAGCAACCAUACUAAAACUCCUUUGCUAAAAGUAAUUUAAAUUAAUUCAGUAAAUAGUUUAAUUAAAAUUUUUAGUUAAAUUUCCAAAAGCAACAGCAAGGUGAUAAAAUGAAACGUUUACUUGGAGUAGCUACUGCUUUAUGUUUAGUUUUUAUAUUCAAAGAUGUCAACCAAGUUUUAGAGAACAAUGGUAUUAUAAACCCAGCCGAAAACACUGCAUUCGUUUUCUCAUUUUCCGCCGGACACUCUAAUUUGUUCAAAAGACACACUGAAAACAAAAGAAAUAGUACCCUAGAGACCCAUCUAAAAAGAAACGUUAGAAGACGAAUAAGGAAACAUAAACGAAUACUGAAACAUUUAGAGGAACAAUUACAGAUGUUGUUUACAGCAGAAAAAAACAGUGAUUACAACAAAACAAAAAAGCAGAAAGUACAAAAACAAUACAACAUUAAUAAAUGUUUAAAAAACUUAUAUUUAUAAUAUUUUUUUCUGCUACACUCUAUUUAAAACUAUUA
Hydra vulgaris (swiftwater hydra) is the source of this 668-nucleotide non-coding RNA. Lineage: Eukaryota; Metazoa; Cnidaria; Hydrozoa; Anthoathecata; Hydridae. The record is from RefSeq and is a predicted model, not a curated record.